RNAcentral lists this ribosomal RNA (458 nucleotides) under uncultured bacterium. RNAcentral's name for it is "bacterial SSU rRNA". It matches the Rfam family "Bacterial small subunit ribosomal RNA", at positions 340 to 786 of the family's 1533-position model. The record is from RNAcentral.
UACGGGAAGGCAGCAGUGGGGAAUAUUGCACAAUGGGCGAAAGCCUGAUGCAGCUAUGCCGCGUGUAUGAAGAAGGCCUUAGGGUUGUAAAGUACUUUCAUCGGGGAGGAAAAAACAAAACUAAUAAUUUUAUUUCUUGACGUUACCCGAAAAAGAAGCACCGGCUAACUCCGUGCCAGCAGCCGCGGUAAUACGGAGGGUGCUAGCGUUAAUCAGAAUUACUGGGCGUAAAGAGCACGUAGGUGGUUUUUUUAAGUCAGAUGUGAAAUCCCUGGGCUUAACCUAGGAACUGCAUUUUGAAACUGAAAUACUAGAGUAUCGUAGAGGGAGGUAGAAUUCUAGGUGUAGCGGUGAAAUGCGUAGAUAUCUGGAGGAAUACCUGUGGCGAAAGCGGCCUCCUAAACGAAUACUGACACUGAGGGUGCGAAAGCGUGGGGAGCAAACGAGGAUUAGAUACC